This 207-nucleotide long non-coding RNA is filed under the name Phoenix dactylifera (date palm). RNAcentral's name for it is "long non-coding RNA (PDAC_LNC010238)". Lineage: Eukaryota; Viridiplantae; Streptophyta; Magnoliopsida; Arecales; Arecaceae. The record is from RNAcentral.
UUUUUGAAAUUUGCUGAGCCAAUCUUUAUAAUUGGGUUUGGUCAAACGGUUGUUCUAUAGGAUAUGAGUUAAGAGUUUAGAAGCUGACUUUAUAAUCCUCAGAGAGUAAAGAUUCUAGUUAGACUUUUGUACUUGAUCCUAAUCUGUUCUAAGGUCUUUUAGAACAAAUAUAACUCCCACUAUUUUCUCGAAUUCCUCACACUCCCC